CGUGGGAGCGAGCCUGCUCGCGAAAGCGUCGGGUCAGUCAACUUGAUAUUGAAGCUGAUGGCCUCUUCGCGAGCAGGCUCGCUCCCACA
RNAcentral lists this unclassified non-coding RNA (89 nucleotides) under Pseudomonas umsongensis. The record is from RNAcentral. Lineage: Bacteria; Pseudomonadati; Pseudomonadota; Gammaproteobacteria; Pseudomonadales; Pseudomonadaceae.